Molecule: non-coding RNA, 4122 nt
Organism: Solanum lycopersicum (tomato)
Lineage: Eukaryota; Viridiplantae; Streptophyta; Magnoliopsida; Solanales; Solanaceae
Source: RefSeq, a predicted model, not a curated record
UUCAAUCAAGUUUUUAAUUUUUGAAUCUUAUUAUUUUUAUCUAAUUUUUUUGUUAAGCUCUAAAAUUAGUGUUUCUUUUUAUUUGAUAUCUAAAACUUUUCCUUAUAAAAAAAUUAUGAGCUCAAGAUUAAGGUGGGUAAAAUUGCAGUAACAAUUUGGAUUGACUUUUCAACUUUUGUAUUAAUCAUUUUCUGUAAUAUGAAUUGUGAAAUCUAUGAAUUAAUCUUAGUCUUGUUUAUGAUUUUGAAUUACUGUUGGAGUUGAUAGAAGUUAUACAACUGAAAACCUAAAUUACUCUUUGUCUCUUCAAAAAUUCAAUUUGGAUCUCCUACAAUAAUCCCUAACAUAUUAAAUUGCUCUUCUUUAGUCCAUGUAAUUAGAUCUAAUGUCUUCUUCUUUGUCAUAUAAGCCUUUUGAGUAAUGGUACAAUUAUGAGCCCUCAUCGCAUAAAAAUUUGAAAUUCUUUUACUCCCUAACUUAUAUUAAUUCUAAAUCCUUCUAUGUACUUCUUUGUUAAAAAAUCAGAGUCGAUAGUCUUGUUAUCUACUUAAUUUCCACAAGAAUUGCUCAGGGUCUAUUGUCUUGAUCUUGAAAGGUUCAUCUUGACCAACCUUUCAUGCAAAUAUGAACCAUUUGCAAUUUGACACCUUACAAGAUGCCCUUGAUCUUGUGCUUUCAUUCUUUUUGAACUUGAUGUCUUUUUUUUUUUAAAACAAGAAUUGUACCUCAACUGCCCACUUGCUAUUACUAAAAUCAUAAAAAGUGCAAACUUAAAUUUUGAAUCCUCCAAAUUCUUGGUUGGAUUAAAAACAAUGGAUCUUUGAAGAUAUUCAUCACUCGAAUCUCCAUGUAAACUCAUUAACUCCUCAUCUGAUGUAGCACAAUCGUCUUGAGUGUCGCUACGAAACAUAGUUAUCUUUAUUUUUCCCAUUGAAAUCAAACCAUUCUACUGUAGAGUCAAUGGUUUUAUCAAAAUCACAUCAUGAGUUUUCAUCUCCCUUGCAAUAAUCAUAAUAAGCGAUAUAUCCAUCAACAUAGUUCAUCACUGGAUCAAAAACCCACCAACAUUUAUAAUGUAGUUAGAUAGUGUUCAUAUAUUUGAGUAUUCACUUGCAUUUUUUGUGCGAAAGAAAAAGUAGAACAUGUUAAGAUGAUUGUAGAGAAAAGGUAAUAUAGUAAUUACAUUACUAGAAUUCUGUUAUAACAGAUUAUGUAGUAGUUAGUUAGAGUGGUCAAUCAGUUAGUCUAUAAAUAGUAUUAGAUACACUAUAUGUAAUUGAUUCUGUAUUCAUUGUAAUCAAUAAACAUAGGCAGUUAUUAACUCUCUAUGUUAAGCUCUAAGAAUCAUCUAGAAGGUCUUCAUUACUUCUUCAAUGUAGGUUUUUUCAUGGUAUCAGAGCUACAGUUAGGGUGAUUUGAUCUUCAAAAGUUGAGUAGUGAAGUUGCUUGAACUUGAUUUCUGCAAAAGCUCCCCAAAAUUCCUGCAAAAGUUUUUUUUAGAAUCUCUAAGGAUCAACAAUAGUGGAAUUGGAGGUUACAGAUCCUCGACAUUCUCUAUCUUUGUUACCAUUAGAUAACCCUGGAAAUGUAAUAAUCUCUGUUCAACUCAGUGGAUCAGAGAAUUACUCGAUUUGGAUCAGAUCAAUUAAGAUUGCAUUGCGAGCCAAACGAAAAUCAGGAUUCAUUGAUGGAACAUGCAAGAAGAGUUCGUUCAAGGAUGAUCUAGCAGAAGAAUGGGAAUGAGUGAAUGCAACAGUCUUGACUUGGAUUAUGAAUACAGUUUCGAAAGAGCUGUAAAUGGGAUUGUUUAUAAAGACAAUGCUCAUGUUGUGUGGAUGGAUCUACAGGAGCGAUUUGAUAAGGCAAAUGGAUCGAGGAUCUAUAAUUAUCAUAGAGAAAUAGCCACAAUUUCUCAAGGUAGUUCUGAUAUCUCUGCUUAUCAUUUGAGAUUGCAUCUGUUAUAGGAUGAGUAUUGUUCAUUAGUGCCUUCCGUAUGUGGAUGUCUUGCAUAAAAGGAUUUUAAGAUUCAUCUAGAACAACAGAAACUAUUUCAGUUCAUAAUGGGUUUAAAUGAAUCCUACAGUGCUAUUAGAAGUCAGAUCUUGCUUAUGAUGCCAUCUCCCUUUGUUAGCCAACAUGUUAUGCUUGUGCAUGAGGAGAGUCAAAGAAAGAUCUGCGAAACUAGUUCAGGGGUAAGAAAUGAGUUGAAUGAAAGUACAUCCUUACAAGGUAUUCAGGAAAAUCAGUCACGAAGAAGAAAAUCCAACAGUAACAAUAACUAUGGCAACAAUUAUGGAGGUAAUAGUAGUUCAUUUUGGUGAGAUCUGUCAAAGGAAAGGCCAUCAUGAAGGUAAUUGCUAUAGGGUAAUAGGCUAUCCAACAGGCUACAAGGGAAAGAAAAAACCACUCAUCAAACUUAACCACAAUGUCAUGGGUGAGAACAAUUGGGGACAAUUAAGACAAGCAAAUAUGAUUGCACAUGAUUAUGUCAAUGACAAAGAAGAUAACAUUCAACACAAAGGGACUGUUCAAGGAUCUUCUAAAAGUUCUCAUAAUGCCUGCAAGCAACAACUAUACCCUCAAAGAUCCAAUUUCACACAGCAUGCUGGAAACAAUUGUGGUGGUAAUAUUCAGAGAUCUCAAUGUCAUUCAAGAGUUCAGCUUGAUAUCAACAAAUGAGAAAAAUACUUCACAGGUGAACAAUAUAACCAGAUAAUGAAUAUGCUUGACAAAGGCAAGGGAAUAGAGUUGGCUGGGAGCAUAGCAAGUAAUGCUUAUUAUAAUUCCCCUUAUAUAAAACCUGGUAAGCCUUGGAUAAUAGAUAGUGGGGCAACAGAUCACAUGACUAACAAUCUGGAUUUAUUGAAUAACUUGAGUAAUAUGCAUGAUCCCAUGAAGAGUAGUAUAUAUCUACCAAAUGGUAAGAAUGUGUCAGUUCAUUAUCAAGGCAGUUGUAAUAUUUCAUAUGAUUAUACCAUUGAAAAUGUGUUGCAUGUGCCUGAAUUCAUAUACAAUCUGUUGUCAGUCUCAAAGAUGACAAAAGUGUUGCAAUGCUCAGUGUUCUUCUUUCCACAUUUUUGUGUUUUCCAGGAUAUAUGUACCGGGAAAGUGAAGGGCAUUGGUAAAGAGAAAGGAGGUCUCUAUCUCCUCUCUCCUAGAACUAGUGAGGAAGCUAUUGAUAAAAUGGCAAAUGCUAGUAGCAACAUUUCAGAAAAAUUGUCUGAAGAUGUGCAAGUUUGACAUAAGAUGUUGGGUCAUGUACCUGCUAUUGUGAUGAAUAAUCUCCAUUUCCUAAAUAAUAAAGUGACACUUUGUAGUUAUAAUGAUUGUAGUGUUUGUCCCUUAGCCAGAAAAACCAGAAAACCAUUUCCUAUUAGUGUUUCUAGAGUAACUGAUGUUUUCCAUUUAUUACACAUUGAUGUAUGGGGUCCUUAUAGAGUCCCUAAUAUUAAUGGUCAUAGGUACUUUGUCACUAUUGUGGAUGAUAAUUCUAUGAGAUAUGGGUUUUCUUAAUGAAACUCAAAAGUGAUUCAUGUGUGUUACUUAUCAUUUGUCAAAAUGGUUCAUGUUCAGUUUAUCAAGCAGGUGAAAAUGAUCAGGACUGAUAAUGGUGCUGAGUUUUUUAGUAAAGAAUUUUCAGAUUUCUUGGUCGAGCAUGAUAUUGUACACCAAAGUAGUUGUCCACACACUCCACAACAAAAUGGAGUGGUGAAAAGAAGACACAUACAUUCUAGAGGUGGCAAGGGUACUCAUGUUUCAAGGUUGUCCUAACUCAAGAAAGUCUGUAACUGGUGACACUGUGAAUCUUGGUCAAUCCUUGAUAUCAUGGAAAUUGAAAAGCAAAACACAGUAGGUAGGAGUUCAGCAGAAUCUGAAUACAGAAGUAUGGCUUUAAUAGUGUCUGAGUUGAUAUGGCUGAUUAGUUUUAUUCAAAUGUUAGGUGUUGAUGUUCCUAGACCAAUUCAGUUGUUUAAACACUGUAAGUCAGCCAUGCACAUAGCAAAUAAUCCAGUGUUUCAUGAGAGAACAAAGUACAUAGAGAUUGAUUGUCAUUUCAUAAGGAAGAAGGUGCAACAAGGUUUGGUACAUCCAGAGUAUUUCUAAACAACUGAUCAAGAGGCA